RNAcentral lists this transfer RNA (82 nucleotides) under bacterium. RNAcentral describes it as "tRNA-Leu". It matches the Rfam family "tRNA". Rfam says of the family: Transfer RNA (tRNA) molecules are approximately 80 nucleotides in length. RNAcentral also lists the same sequence under 3 other names. The record is from RNAcentral.
GGGCGAGUAGCCGAAUUGGUACAGGCGCAUGGCUUAGGACCAUGUCUCGCAAGAGGUGGGGGUUCGAGUCCCCCCUCGCCCA